UUUUAUGAGAGUUUGAUCCUGGCUCAGGAUGAACGCUGGCGGCGUGGAUAAGGCAUGCAAGUCAAACGGUACGAUGUCCGCAAGGAUGUCGUGCAGUGGCGAACGAGUUAGUAAUACCUUGGUACGUACCCCGAAGUCGGGCAUAAUUAGCCGAAAGGCUAACUAAUUCCCGAUAGUCUCGCAAGAGUAAAGUCGCAAGACGCUUUGGGAGCGGCCUAGGUCCUAUCAGCUUGUUGGUGAGGUAACGGCUCACCAAGGCUAUGACGGGUAGGGGGUGUGAGAGCACGGCCCCCAACGACGAAACUGAGAUAAAAUUUGUCUCCUUUGGUGGCAACACUAAAGUAAAAAAUCUAGCUUAUAACGGUGAAAUCUUUACUGUGGAUAAUAAAUCUAUAGAACAUGUGGGGAGUGUGAUAUAAUACCCCUUAUGGAGACAACGCCGUGGGAAGUUAAUAGUAAAUAUGUAUCUGAUGCUUAUAUCGCUGGUUUUCUUGACGGCGAUGGUUCAAUUGUUGUGGGCAUAGAGAAGAGGCCAGAUAGAAGGAGAUUUCCUUUUCGUGUCAGGCCCAAAAUAUCCUUUUCUCAACAUUCAAGACAUAAAAAUUUACUCAUAUUAUUACAAGAAGCAUUGGGCAAAAUAGGCAAUAUCAGAUACAUUAAAUCUCAUAACCUUUGCGAUUUAGUAAUCGCUAAACGAUCAGAUGUCAAAAAGACACUGGAACGUUUAUUGCCCCAUCUGAUACUAAAAGAAAGGCAAGCGCGAAUUAUGCUUGGAAUGAUAGAAGUUUUUGAACAAGGAAAAGUAAACAUUCGCAGUUCCCUUUCUGAUAAAGAUUACGAAAAAUUAUUCGCGAUGGGUAACGAAAUAAGAAGUAUCAACUCUGGCACCGGAGGAAAGAAAAAAUAUGAGAUUAUUAACCCCGUAACGACUUAAUCGUAUUAUACGAUUAGAUGAUUUCUUUUUAGAAAUUAUAAUAUGCUAGCCCCAUUCUUUUUUGAAUUUGAAUGGGUGAAGACAUAGUCUACACCACAAGUGAUUGUGGAAAAAUGUGACGGUUCGUACACCUACGGGUGGCAGUAGCCGAGAAUAUUCGACAAUGGGCGAAAGCCUGAUCGAGCGACGCCGCGUGCAGGAAGAAGGCCUUCGGGUUGUAAACUGCUUUUGCGUGGGAAGAAUCCCGCUUAUGCGGGAGUGACGGUACCACGAGAAUAAGGGGUUGCUAACUCUGUGGACUCAUUUAGAGUCGGCGCAGAG
RNAcentral lists this ribosomal RNA (1255 nucleotides) under bacterium. RNAcentral describes it as "partial 16S ribosomal RNA". It matches the Rfam family "Bacterial small subunit ribosomal RNA", at positions 1 to 530 of the family's 1533-position model. The record is from RNAcentral.